UGGCUGAGCGGUAAAGCGCUUGGUUUCCGAACCGAACGUCCCGGGUUCGAAUCCCGG
RNAcentral lists this transfer RNA (57 nucleotides) under Biomphalaria glabrata. It matches the Rfam family "tRNA", at positions 8 to 63 of the family's 71-position model. From Rfam's summary of the family: Transfer RNA (tRNA) molecules are approximately 80 nucleotides in length. Their secondary structure includes four short double-helical elements and three loops (D, anti-codon, and T loops). The record is from Rfam by way of RNAcentral. Lineage: Eukaryota; Metazoa; Mollusca; Gastropoda; Planorbidae.